Long non-coding RNA from Chinchilla lanigera (long-tailed chinchilla), 745 nucleotides. RefSeq lists it as uncharacterized. The record is from RefSeq and is a predicted model, not a curated record. Lineage: Eukaryota; Metazoa; Chordata; Mammalia; Rodentia; Chinchillidae. The transcript has 3 exons.
CACAAACUUCAGAAUGCCUUCAAUAGGUGACAAGAGGUACGGGACAAGUGUGCUGGAAGCUAAAAUCCGGUAUCACCACAGAAGUCUGACUGAACAGGAAAGGAGAGACAGGAAGGUCAGCACCACAUUGAAGCAGUCUGGUACACACUCUCCCAGCUAUUGAUGCCUUGGAAGAGGGGAGAGGCCAUGGCCCAGGAAAUGUAAACAGCUUCUUAAUGCUGUAAAUGGCUCAGAGAGUCAAGUUAAUCAGUUUAUCAUGUCCCCUUGGUCUACCAGAUGGUCCCUCAUGACCUGUGUAUCUCCUGACAAAUAGCUCAUCAUCUUCGGUGUUGGUCUCAGCUCAACAGUUAUUUGUGCCUAAACCACCAGGCACUGCUUCUUCAACCACUCAGAGGAACUCUCCACACCACUGACUUCCUUGGUGCCUGUAGCUUUUCCCUGGUUUGCAGUGGCUGGGUCCAAGAAACAGAGGUAGUGAGACACAUAUACAUCCACCUAUUUUUCUUAGACUUUCCUGGAAAGCUUCAAAAUCUUCAACUGUUAAUUUGCCAUUUUUUAAAGAAUGAUAAGAUUUUUAUGCACAUAUUUAAAACAAAUAUUUAAAUUGAAUUUGAGUGGUGAGGACAUGUCCUUGCAGGGUUCGGGAGGAAGAGAGGCAAAGAGAAAUUGAGUGAUAAACAGGUUAAAUGCUUGUGCUAAGAAUUCAAUAAAAACCUGCAACAAUGAGAAUUUGGGAAAAAUAGAA